GAUUCUGGUUCAGGAUGAACGCUAGCUACAGGCUUAACACAUGCAAGUCGAGGGGUAGCAGGGUAGCAAUACCGCUGACGACCGGCGCACGGGUGAGUAACACGUAUCCAACCUUCCCAUAACUCAGGGAUAGCCUUUCGAAAGAAAGAUUAAUACCUGAUAGUACUUUUUCAAGGCAUCUUGAGAAAGUUAAAGAUUUAUUGGUUAUGGAUGGGGAUGCGUUCCAUUAGAUAGUUGGUGAGGUAACGGCUCACCAAGUCUUCGAUGGAUAGGGGUUCUGAGAGGAAGGUCCCCCACAUUGGUACUGAGACACGGACCAAACUCCUACGGGAGGCAGCAGUGAGAAAUAUUGGUCAAUGGGCGAGAGCCUGAACCAGCCAAGUAGCGUGAAGGAAUGAAGGUCCUAUGGAUUGUAAACUUCUUUUAUAGUAGAAUAAAGUGAUCCACGUGUGGAUUUUUGUAUGUAUACUAUGAAUAAGGAUCGGCUAACUCCGUGCCAGCCGCCGC
RNAcentral lists this ribosomal RNA (507 nucleotides) under uncultured bacterium. Its description in RNAcentral is "bacterial SSU rRNA". It matches the Rfam family "Bacterial small subunit ribosomal RNA", at positions 15 to 518 of the family's 1533-position model. The record is from RNAcentral.